GAGAAACACAUUAGAAAUGCAGGGGACUGGGCCAUGGCACGCCAGGGUUCUCAAGUGAACACUGACUGUCACCUCAGUGCAACAGCUCCUGGUCCCACUCAAGGAAAUCUGGACACUCAGCAGCCUGCCCGCAAGCAAAUCCUCUGAAGUUCAACCCAACUGUGUAGGAAGCAUCCUUGACCCCCCCCCAAAACUGGACACGAGCUCCCCAUGGUCAGUGCAGUGUCGCUCAGUCAUAAUUCACUGGUGACAAGUGAAUAUCUAAGGAACGGAAUAUCCUUACAGUCCCCCCCACACCUUCGAGAUGAGGUAAGGAGAGGAAGUGGGCCUAGAGGGAGAAUGGUUUAGAAACAGGAAAACUCGGGAGUCCGGCAGUAGC
This is a long non-coding RNA of Erinaceus europaeus (western European hedgehog), 379 nucleotides long. RefSeq lists it as uncharacterized. The transcript has 3 exons. NCBI's taxonomy places the organism in Eukaryota, Metazoa, Chordata, Mammalia, Eulipotyphla, Erinaceidae. The record is from RefSeq and is a predicted model, not a curated record.